RNAcentral lists this ribosomal RNA (301 nucleotides) under uncultured bacterium. Its description in RNAcentral is "partial 16S ribosomal RNA". It matches the Rfam family "Bacterial small subunit ribosomal RNA", at positions 509 to 807 of the family's 1533-position model. The record is from RNAcentral.
CAGUCGCCGCGGUAAUACGAAGGGUGCAAGCGUUACUCGGAAUUACUGGGCGUAAAGCGUGCGUAGGUGGUGGUUUAAGUCCGAUGUGAAAGCCCUGGGCUCAACCUGGGAAUUGCAGUGGAUACUGGGUCACUAGAGUGUGGUAGAGGAUAGUGGAAUUUCCGGUGUAGCAGUGAAAUGCGUAGAGAUCGGAAGGAACAUCUGUGGCGAAGGCGACUAUCUGGGCCAACACUGACACUGAGGCACGAAAGCGUGGGGAGCAAACAGGAUUAGAUACCCGUGUAGUCCCUGUCUCUUAUAC